CGGAUCCGUAACUUGGUCUGAGAGGAUGAUCAGUCACACUGGAACUGAGACACGGUCCAGACUCCUACGGGAGGCAGCAGUGGGGAAUAUUGGACAAUGGGCGAAAGCCUGAUCCAGCCAUGCCGCGUGUGUGAAGAAGGUCUUCGGAUUGUAAAGCACUUUAAGUUGGGAGGAAGGGCAGUUACCUAAUACGUGAUUGUUUUGACGUUACCGACAGAAUAAGCACCGGCUAACUCUGUGCCAGCAGCCGCGGUAAUACAGAGGGUGCAAGCGUUAAUCGGAAUUACUGGGCGUAAAGCGCGCGUAGGUGGUUUGUUAAGUUGGAUGUGAAAUCCCCGGGCUCAACCUGGGAACUGCAUUCUAAAACUGACUGACUAGAGUAUGGUAGAGGGUGGUGGAAUUUCCUGUGUAGCGGUGAAAUGCGUAGAUAUAGGAAGGAACACCAGUGGCGAAGGCGACCACCUGGACUAAUACU
This 475-nucleotide ribosomal RNA is filed under the name Pseudomonas sp. Z39. RNAcentral's name for it is "bacterial SSU rRNA". It matches the Rfam family "Bacterial small subunit ribosomal RNA", at positions 276 to 741 of the family's 1533-position model. The record is from RNAcentral. Lineage: Bacteria; Pseudomonadati; Pseudomonadota; Gammaproteobacteria; Pseudomonadales; Pseudomonadaceae.